UUUGGAACCUUACCUGGGCUAGAAUGUAUUUUGCUACCUUGAGAAAUUGAUGGUUCCUUCGGGACGGAAUACAAGGUGCUGCAUGGCUGUCGUCAGCUCGUGCCGUGAGGUGUUGGGUUAAGUCCUAUAACGAGCGAAACCCUUUUACUUAAUUGCCAGCACGUAAUGGUGGGGACUUUAAGUAGACUGCCCGUGUAAGCGGGAGGAAGGAGAGGACGAGGUCAAGUCAUCAUGGCCUUUAUGCCCAGGGCUACACACGUACUACAAUGGCAUGUACAAAGGGAAGCUACUUGGUAACAAGAUGCAAAUCUCAAAAGCAUGUCUCAGUUCGGAUUGGGGUCUGCAAUUCGACCUCAUGAAGUUGGAAUCGCUAGUAAUCGCGUAUCAGCAAUGACGCGGUGAAUACGUUCUCGGACCUUGUACACACCGCCCAUCAAGCCAUGGGAGUUGGUAGAGCUUGAAGACAGUGGCAA
RNAcentral lists this ribosomal RNA (473 nucleotides) under Cardinium endosymbiont of Diapriidae sp. RNAcentral's name for it is "bacterial SSU rRNA". It matches the Rfam family "Bacterial small subunit ribosomal RNA", at positions 962 to 1436 of the family's 1533-position model. The record is from RNAcentral. Lineage: Bacteria; Pseudomonadati; Bacteroidota; Cytophagia; Cytophagales; Amoebophilaceae.